Molecule: ribosomal RNA, 455 nt
Filed under: uncultured Enterobacteriaceae bacterium
Lineage: Bacteria; Pseudomonadati; Pseudomonadota; Gammaproteobacteria; Enterobacterales; Enterobacteriaceae
Description: bacterial SSU rRNA
Rfam family: Bacterial small subunit ribosomal RNA
Source: RNAcentral
CCGCACAAGCGGUGGAGCAUGUGGUUAAUUCGAUGCAACGCGAAGAACCUUACCUGGUCUUGACAUCCACGGAAGUUUUCAGAGAUGAGAAUGUGCCUUCGGGAACGUGAGACAGGUGCUGCAUGGCUGUCGUCAGCUCGUGUUGUGAAAUGUUGGGUUAAGUCCCGCAACGAGCGCAACCCUUAUCCUUUGUUGCCAGCGGUCCGGCCGGGAACUCAAAGGAGACUGCCAGUGAUAAACUGGAGGAAGGUGGGAUGACGUCAAGUCAUCAUGGCCCUUACGACCAGGGCUACACACGUGCUACAAUGGCGCAUACAAAGAGAAGCGACCUCGCGAGAGCAAGCGGACCUCAUAAAGUGCGUCGUAGUCCGGAUUGGAGUCUGCAACUCGACUCCAUGAAGUCGGAAUCGCUAGUAAUCGUGGAUCAGAAUGCCACGUCGAUACGUUCCGGCCUU